RNAcentral lists this transfer RNA (78 nucleotides) under Candidatus Omnitrophota bacterium. Its description in RNAcentral is "Candidatus Omnitrophica bacterium (sediment metagenome) tRNA-Val". It matches the Rfam family "tRNA". Rfam says of the family: Transfer RNA (tRNA) molecules are approximately 80 nucleotides in length. Their secondary structure includes four short double-helical elements and three loops (D, anti-codon, and T loops). Further hydrogen bonds mediate the characteristic L-shaped molecular structure. tRNAs have two regions of fundamental functional importance: the anti-codon, which is responsible for specific mRNA codon recognition, and the 3' end, to which the tRNAs corresponding amino acid is attached (by aminoacyl-tRNA synthetases). tRNAs cope with the degeneracy of the genetic code in two manners: having more than one tRNA (with a specific anti-codon) for a particular amino acid; and 'wobble' base-pairing, i.e. permitting non-standard base-pairing at the 3rd anti-codon position. The record is from RNAcentral. Lineage: Bacteria; Pseudomonadati; Candidatus Omnitrophota.
GGACACAUAGCUCAGUUUGGUUAGAGCGUUGCCCUCACAUGGCAGAGGUCGAAGGUUCAAGUCCUUCUGUGUCCACCA